GAUGAACGCUGGCGGCGUGCCUAAUACAUGCAAGUCGAGCGAACAGAUGAGAAGCUUGCUUCUCUGAUGUUAGCGGCGGACGGGUGAGUAACACGUGGGUAACCUACCUAUAAGACUGGGAUAACUCCGGGAAACCGGGGCUAAUACCGGAUAAUAUUUUGAACCGCAUGGUUCAAUAGUGAAAGACGGUUUCGGCUGUCACUUAUAGAUGGACCCGCGCCGUAUUAGCUAGUUGGUAAGGUAACGGCUUACCAAGGCGACGAUACGUAGCCGACCUGAGAGGGUGAGCGUCCACACUGGAACUGACACACGGUCCAGACUCCUACGGGAGGCAGCAGUAGGGAAUCUUCCGCAAUGGGCGAAAGCCUGACGGAGCAACGCCGCGUGAGUGAUGAAGGUCUUCGGAUCGUAAAACUCUGUUGUUAGGGAAGAACAAAUUUGUUAGUAACUGAACAAGUCUUGACGGUACCUAACCAGAAAGCCACGGCUAACUACGUGCCAGCCGCCGCAGUAA
RNAcentral lists this ribosomal RNA (514 nucleotides) under uncultured bacterium. RNAcentral's name for it is "partial 16S ribosomal RNA". It matches the Rfam family "Bacterial small subunit ribosomal RNA", at positions 28 to 523 of the family's 1533-position model. The record is from RNAcentral.